GAGUGAGCGGCAAAGCUCAAAUUUGAAGCUAGCACCUUCGGUGUUCGCGUUGUAAUUUGAAGAUAGUUUCCUUGAGUAGUCCUUUAUCUAUGUUCCUUGGAACAGGACGUCAUAGAGGGUGAGAACCCCGUAUGAUUUUGGAUACUACUCUUUGUGGGAUUCUAUCGAAGAGUCGAGUUGUUUGGGAAUA
RNAcentral lists this ribosomal RNA (190 nucleotides) under uncultured Saccharomycopsis. Its description in RNAcentral is "partial 26S ribosomal RNA". It matches the Rfam family "Eukaryotic large subunit ribosomal RNA", at positions 91 to 282 of the family's 3401-position model. The record is from RNAcentral. Lineage: Eukaryota; Fungi; Ascomycota; Saccharomycetes; Ascoideales; Saccharomycopsidaceae.